RNAcentral lists this long non-coding RNA (594 nucleotides) under Malus domestica (apple). RNAcentral describes it as "long non-coding RNA (MDOM_LNC000637)". The record is from RNAcentral. Lineage: Eukaryota; Viridiplantae; Streptophyta; Magnoliopsida; Rosales; Rosaceae.
UAGCUUUGUCACAUUGACAUGUGUCAUGUUGUGAUUGGUUCUUGAUGUCGACACGUGCUGCGCUCUGAUUGGCUUCUAAUCUUGACACGUGUCGAGUAGUGAUUGGCCUCCUGGUCGGAAGGGAACUCUUCUGGGUCCUUGACAGUAUAGCGUUGGCCGGUGCUCGGUAGUUUCGGGAUUGGUCAAGUAUGGUACAAACAGUGCUCCCCUAAGUUCCCGAGUGAGGGAAACUCCUCGGUUGGGGACUUGCAAGAUCCGAUCCCGAAGAGCAUACUCCAUUGCUACUUUGUCGUACUUAUACUGUCAUUUAUUGUCAGGAAUUAUUGAGCAACUAGGUCCACUGAUUAACGUUGUUGCUGAUUAACGAAGUCUACCAACUUAUAGACUGAUGAGCCACGUGCUCAUGGUGAUCUCUUGUCUGACCGGACACCCACUUGCUCGGACAUUCGCUUAUUGGGACACCUAUGUGCUCGGACCUAACUCGAUGACCCUACAGAUAGUCCCAACUUGAUGCCCCUACGUAUGGCCCCAAUUCAAAGACCCGACUUGCGGACCCGAUCCGCGGAUCCGACACAUAGACCCAAUAUGCGAACC